GAUCCUGGCUCAGAUUGAACGCUGGCGGCAGGCUUAACACAUGCAAGUCGAACGGUAACAGGAAGAAAGCUUGCUUUCUUUGCUGACGAGUGGCGGACGGGUGAGUAAUGCUUGGGAAUCUGGCUUAUGGAGGGGGAUAACUACGGGAAACUGUAGCUAAUACCGCGUAAUAUCGAGAGAUUAAAGGGUGGGACCGCAAGGCCACCUGCCAUGAGAUGAGCCCAAGUGGGAUUAGGUAGUUGGUGAGGG
Molecule: ribosomal RNA, 249 nt
Filed under: uncultured bacterium
Lineage: Bacteria
Description: partial 16S ribosomal RNA
Rfam family: Bacterial small subunit ribosomal RNA
Source: RNAcentral